AACGCUGGCGGCGUGCCUAAUACAUGCAAGUCGAACGAACGGAGGAAGAGCUUGCUCUUCCAAWGUUAGUGGCGGACGGGUGAGUAACACGUGGGCAACCUGCCUGUAAGUUGGGGAUAACUCCGGGAAACCGGGGCUAAUACCGAAUGAUARARUGUGGCGCAUGCCACGCUUUUGAAAGAUGGUUUCGGCUAUCGCUUACAGAUGGGCCCGCGGUGCAUUAGCUAGUUGGUAGGGUAAUGGCCUACCAAGGCAACGAUGCAUAGCCGACCUGAGAGGGUGAUCGGCCACACUGGGACUGAGACACGGCCCAGACUCCUACGGGAGGCAGCAGUAGGGAAUCUUCCGCAAUGGACGAAAGUCUGACGGAGCAACGCCGCGUGUAUGAAGAAGGUUUUCGGAUCGUAAAGUACUGUUGUUAGAGAAGAACAAGGAUAAGAGUAACUGCUUGUCCCUUGACGGUAUCUAACCAGAAAGCCACGGCUAACU
This 489-nucleotide ribosomal RNA is filed under the name Listeria monocytogenes. RNAcentral's name for it is "bacterial SSU rRNA". It matches the Rfam family "Bacterial small subunit ribosomal RNA", at positions 32 to 502 of the family's 1533-position model. The record is from RNAcentral. Lineage: Bacteria; Bacillati; Bacillota; Bacilli; Caryophanales; Listeriaceae.